This 827-nucleotide long non-coding RNA is filed under the name Zostera marina. Its description in RNAcentral is "long non-coding RNA (ZMAR_LNC002973)". Lineage: Eukaryota; Viridiplantae; Streptophyta; Magnoliopsida; Alismatales; Zosteraceae. The record is from RNAcentral.
AAACACUUAACAAACUCUUAAAAAUUACAAAGAAGCUUUGAAAAAAGAAAUACAUCAUAUCUGCAAAUCUAAACCAAUCCCUGAUUGUAUUUACAAGAAAUAAGACAUUAUCACAUUAGGGAGACUUCAAUUGGCAAGAUGUAUAAUAUAGAAGGCAUUUUUGCUACGGUCCCUAUAUGUUGCGAACUCGCUGUGGACAUCUGAUCUCACCGUCCACGUCCCUAAGCCAUUCACAACCAUCCAUCUCCCGCCCUGAAUUCCAGGAUGAAAGUUGACGUCCGACCGUUCUCAGAGUGUCGGUACCAUCGCGAGCACCGUCCAGGAACCCAACGCAAGUUCGCGGUUCCGAGAACUCAUCGCGAGUUCGCGACUUCGCGGUUCCAGGAACCAAUCGCGAGUUCACGCCCAGUCCCGUCGGCCUUACCUGUAGGGCCGGUAAAGGUAGACAGCAUUCCGUUGUGCCAAUGUCGUCCACAAUUGAGGGACGACUGAGGUACCGCAUUCCGUUUCUGAUGAGGAACGUCCUGGUAUAAUAUAUUGUAAGUUACAUUAUUAGUUUCAGGAUCGAUUAUUACAAAGAGAUAUGUAUUAUUAUGCACCAAGCAAAGAAGAUCGUAUAUUCAAAUGUGAUUCAGAUUUAAAAUUUCCAUGAAUUACCUUUCUAAUGUGUUGGUGUGAGGGUUCGCCGGAGCUAGCUCACCGUCCAACCUAGUACAAGUCUCUCUCUCAGAAUUAUCAACCCCCUCCCCAGUUGGACCAGGGGAGGUAUUUAUAGCCUUCACUUGUUGUCAUUGGGCCUCGUAGGCUCGCGCUGUCGGGCCCGUCCG